Molecule: long non-coding RNA, 631 nt
Filed under: Elaeis guineensis (African oil palm)
Lineage: Eukaryota; Viridiplantae; Streptophyta; Magnoliopsida; Arecales; Arecaceae
Description: long non-coding RNA (EGUI_LNC060016)
Source: RNAcentral
AGAAGAGGCGACGAGCUGCCGGCGAUCAACGGCCGAUCAGGCGAUCUCCGCAGGUGGUGGGAGGUUGAGAUCCAGAUCGAAAGGCAGCAUCUUGGGCGGCGGGGAAGAGGGGUGAUGGGGGUGCAAAUCGACAACGGACGAGGAAUCCGAGUCGCUCUGGACGCCGCCGGCGAGAGGGGUCUGGAAAUCGGCCAGGAUCAUCGGGGUGCCCAGCGUCAGGUGGUGUUGGUUCGCCUUGUCCGAUCUAACAAAGGUGUCGAAAAAGAAGUAGGGGUGCGCCACGCCGGCAGCGGAGGCGGCGGUCGCGAAGGGCUGGAAGGGGAACCGCGCGCCGCGGCGGAGGAGGUCAAGAUCGAGGGAAGGAAGAAGGGGCUGGGCCAUCGGUGGUACGGCGGCCUCCCGGCUGGAGGACUCGACGGUGCUGCUCUGGCUGCUCGGGCUCCCGGCUGCUCCACCGCCUCCGCCGCCGCUGGGGCUCUGGUAGGCGUCCGGGUAGGGAAAGUUCGUCUUCGCCUUGGAUCCGCGGAAUUCCCGGGCGGCGGCGUCGUACGCCCUGGCGGCCUCCUCCGCGGUGUCGAAAGUCCCCAGCCACACCCGGCUCUUCUUCCCGGGAUCCCGUAUCUCCGCCGCG